Molecule: ribosomal RNA, 465 nt
Filed under: uncultured bacterium
Lineage: Bacteria
Description: partial 16S ribosomal RNA
Rfam family: Bacterial small subunit ribosomal RNA
Source: RNAcentral
CCUACGGGAGGCAGCAGUGGGGAAUAUUGCGCAAUGGGCGAAAGCCUGACGCAGCGACGCCGCGUGAGGGAUGACGGUCUUCGGAUCGUAAAACUCUGUCAGCAGGGAAGAACGGUCACUGUGCUAAUCAGCAGUGAAUUGACGGUACCUGCAAAGGAAGCACCGGCUAACUCCGUGCCAGCAGCCGCGGUAAUACGGAGGGUGCGUGCGUUAAUCGGAUUUACUGGGCGUAAAGAGCGCGUAGGCGGUAUGUCAAGUCAAGUGUGAAAGCCCCGCGCUCAACGUGGGAACUGCCUUUGAAACUGGCAGACUGGAGUGUGUGAGAGGAUAGUGGAAUUCCAGGUGUAGGAGUGAAAUCCAUAGAUAUCUGGAGGAACAUCAGUGGCGAAGGCAACUAUCUGGCACAUAACUGACGCUGAGGAGCGAAAGCGUGGGUAGCAAACAGGAUUAGAUACCCUAGUAGUC